RNAcentral lists this ribosomal RNA (462 nucleotides) under uncultured bacterium. RNAcentral describes it as "partial 16S ribosomal RNA". It matches the Rfam family "Bacterial small subunit ribosomal RNA", at positions 28 to 507 of the family's 1533-position model. The record is from RNAcentral.
GACGAACGCUGGCGGCGUGCUUAACACAUGCAAGUCGAGCGGUAAGGCCUUUCGGGGUACACGAGCGGCGAACGGGUGAGUAACACGUGGGUGAUCUGCCCUGCACUUCGGGAUAAGCCUGGGAAACUGGGUCUAAUACCGGAUAUGACCUCCUAUCGCAUGGUGGGUGGUGGAAAGAUUUAUCGGUGCAGGAUGGGCCCGCGGCCUAUCAGCUUGUUGGUGGGGUAAUGGCCUACCAAGGCGACGACGGGUAGCCGACCUGAGAGGGUGACCGGCCACACUGGGACUGAGACACGGCCCAGACUCCUACGGGAGGCAGCAGUGGGGAAUAUUGCACAAUGGGCGAAAGCCUGAUGCAGCGACGCCGCGUGAGGGAUGACGGCCUUCGGGCUGUAAACCUCUUUCAGCAGGGACGAAGCGCAAGUGACGGUACCUGCAGAAGAAGCACCGGCUAACUACGUG